Molecule: long non-coding RNA, 5397 nt
Filed under: Setaria viridis
Lineage: Eukaryota; Viridiplantae; Streptophyta; Magnoliopsida; Poales; Poaceae
Description: long non-coding RNA (SVIR_LNC002760)
Source: RNAcentral
GUGGUGAGGAGAUGGAUUUGAAGAAGCCAGAUUUUGAUAAAGAAGAUGAAUUGCUUGGGCUUCCUAAGGGCUGGGAUAGUGAAAACUGUAAAGAAGAGUCUUCUGCCACCGAUGGGAAAGCUACAAAAGGGAAGAUCUCUCUCAAGGACAAGGUGGAGCUUGAGAAAGAGAUGGAAGAGUACUACAAGUUGGACUAUGAGGACACUAUUGGAGAUCUGAAGACUCGGUUCAAGUAUAAGAAGGUUAAUCCCAACAGUUUUGGUCUUAGUACCUAUGAGAUAUUGGCAUCAGAUGACAAGGAUCUGAACCAGUACGUUUCCAUGAAGAAGCUAGCUCCUUACAGGGAGAGUGAAUGGAAGAUAACACAUCAUAGGAAGUUGAGCAAGGAUUUGAUCCUUGGUGGACAGAAGAAAGUAGGAAAGAAGGACAAAUCUGGCAAGAAAUCUGGGUCUGCCGAGGGCGGCCCUAGUUCUUCAAAACCAGAGAAAGACAAGCUGCCAAUUGAACAAGAGUUAACUGAUGACAAGAAAAAGUCUACCAGAAGCAGACGAAGGAAGCGCCGUAAUGAGGAUCUGAAGAUGUCUGCUGAUCGACUAGGAGCAUAUGGAAAGCUAAAUUCGAAGCGUCACAAGAGCCAUUGAGCUUUGGAGAUUCAUCAAAGUACAUCUAGGGAAUUUUGCUUCUCUUUUUAUGCAUUUUGGAGGGAGUGAAAUCUCAAUUAACGAGAGUCUUUGCUUCUACUUUGGGAGUUGCAAACUAGUGUAAUCCUCGUAGUCAUUUCUCUGAGUUUGCAGACAGUGUUGUGCACCUCCUUUCCUGAACCAUAUAAUUUAAUUGCCUUGAAGUUUGCUGCUACUAUGUUUUGUGUUACUGUCAUUUCCUCUUCUAAUUUGCUUGAAUUGUCAAAUUAUCCCAGUGAUGAAUUGGCAGAUGAACUCAUAUAUGCCUGUUGAACUGGCCUCAUACUAAUGUUGUUAUUGUGAAAUUCUAAUGGCAUGGCGCCUUAUCUGUUCAUGCCCACCUGAUGCUCGCACGCUUUGUGUGCAUGCCAUUUAUGUCUCAAUCUGAAUAUGUCAUGUUAAUUGAUAUAUCCAGAUAGAACCUACGGUGGUCCAAGGUGCUGCAAUAGCAAACCACUGCGGUGGUCAUUGCUCCAUGCAGUCUAGAAAAGUCAGAUUCCUUUGUUGCUUUUGCUCUCCUCUGCAACUGAAAACAAGUGUGCUACCUGUGCUGCUCGAAGCCCCUACCGUGUUGUGCGCCAUGAUCCCACAAAUCUACCCCGAUUUGAUGCUCCUGAGUUGGUUGCCUCAUCCAUUUCUCUGAGGAAUUUUCCAAUUUCUGCACAAGCAGCAAGUUAUGCAUUCCAGCUACUGGUUGUUGAGAGCUCAAUCUGUAGGUGAGUUCCUGUUUUGUUUGGCUUUCUGUUGAGAUUCUUGAUAUUUCUGCAUGGCGAUGAAGCAUUUUUAUUUAGGUGCUUAUCAUUCUGAUGUUUCUUUUAAAUUGAACUACAUGCUGUCGAGAAUGUUAUUAAUGUCGGGUCAUUAUCUGCAGAAAUGGAUCACAUGGAUGAGCAUGAGUGCAUGACAGUGAUGACAUGAAAGUAGGGGCAGAUGGUGCCUCUAGAUUCAGAAAGAAGAGGUCUAAAGUGUGGGACAAGUGCAAGCCCAUCUUUGUAGAUGGAGUGAUUCGGAGUUUCACAGGUGCUCAUGGCGUCCAAUGGUACAAGCCAUUUGUGGCGAUACAAAAAAUUUGCUGAGCAAAAGAUAAAUUCUGUCCAAGCCCACUGCAACAGGAUGCAGAUUUGCCAUACGGUAUGCUUUAGCUACUGACUAGCUCUUAGGAGAGAUGCCAAAUUUUAUUCCAACCAACUUAUAUGUUUGUAUGACAAAUUAGCAUGGGUGCUUUAGGCCUUUAUCAUUAGUUUGUAUUACUAUCUGUGCUUAUCUGUUUGAUGAUAUUUGUUCAUUCAUCACGGAAACAUUUUUUCAUGGUGAUUACCAUUUGGAGGAUAAAUAAUUUUGUUACAUUUUUUACUUUUAGUUCUCUAACCCUACUUUGAUGUUGUGAAGUAUAUUGUGGUUAGUGUCUCCUUAAUAUCUUUGCAUGCCGGACUUAAAGAGAAACAUUGUGAAACAGAGGGACAUACAAUAGAUUCUAUACACCUCAUUGAUCACUUAUUUUGCUUUUAUUGCAUAAAUUUCGUAGUUUGCUAGUUUGUGAGUUGUAUAAAGCUAUGCUCCUGCUUUUUUGUUCAUGCAAAAUUGUAUGUCUUCAAUAUUUUGUGCAUAUUUUGAAGGGAGAGACAUACUCAAACUUGUCCAGCAUGAAGUGGAAAUAUCACAAGUCGUCAGAAGGGUGUGCUGUUCCAGUGCAGUAUAUCAAAUUUUAAAUCCAGGCUUCAAGGUGAGCAUUCACCUGCCUUCACAAAUGGUAAGGUUCAGAUUGCAGAGUAUGCCAGGAAAGUUCCUCAAGGGCAGCUCUGAUGAUAACAGCCCUGUGGAAUGUCACAUUCUAGCUUUACCAGUGAUGGAUGAGAUGAAUUCCACAGAACAAUAUACCUCCAGCUCAGAUUGCUCCGGACAUAAGCUGGGAAUUUGACCAAGAAGCAUCUUAGCAUCUUAUCAAGAGUUAACUACAUGAUUAUUUCACAUGUCUAUCCCUUGUUAAUAGUUGAGCAUGAAUAAAAAUGACAAAGUUUGCAAAGAGAAUCCUGCAUUUAAUAUCGGUUGAAGCAUUUAUAUAGAAGAGUACUCAAUUCUUCUAUUUCAGAAUGAAAAGGUUGACCUUAAGUGAAAAAUUGCACUUUUAUCCCAUCAGAAUCAGAUUUCCUUAUCAGCAAGUGUGUGAGCUCCUCGUGGAGCUGAGGCCUUAGUGUGGUAUCUCCAUGCUGUCUAGAAAGUCAGAUUCCUUUGUUGCUGGAGCUCUCCCCUGCAACUGAAAAGAGGAGAGCCCCAUGGAAGUCCAAGCUGAGUGACAGCAGGUGACGGUCUAGAGCUCGGUUUGCUGCAAUCGGGUGGAGUACUGGAGUGUCUUGAACAGCUCCAACACAGCUUUACAUCCGGCAUUAGGUUUUCUGUUUCCCUGCUUUCAAAACAAUAGGUUUGAUAGUGAGCUUGCCUGAGACCUUCAGAUAUCUCACACAGACCAAAUUGAGCCAUUUAUGCAGCAACUUUUGUAACUGUCCUUGAGUUCCAAUAAGGAAAAAUAAUAUUAAUUUAUCCAUACAUCUGACGUUGACAGCUUAGAGCUUUGGGCUCCUUACAAAAAAUAAAAGGAACUCUGCGUGUUUGUGAUGCUGUCUGGUACACUGGAAUUUUACACUGAUGCAAGACAAGCCACAAAAAUGAACAAAAUUUUGCCUCACUAAGUGAAGACCGAUUCAAAGAAGCUCCUGAGCAGUAGCAACCAGGUCAACAAAAACCAUUGUGGCCUGACAUCCACUUCCAAUCACCCCAUUUGUAUAUUCUUGUCAUUUUGCCAUUAGCACAAAACAAAUGCUCAAUGGGUUUAUUCCAUCGUGUUGGUAGUUGCACAUGUCCCUUUCUUCUAUCGUCACCAUCUUCAGCACCCCACGUUACUCUAUUUAUAUGCCCUCUCCCAUCUCAGUUUGCUCCUACAUUGAUCAUAGUCAAGCUGCUUAUAUGAUAUGGUACAUCCCUUUCUACUGCCAACUGCUGCUCCUAAUUUCUGUCCUGCUGUUUCCCUAUCUUCUUGUUCCCAGAGAAACAUACUGAUUGUUGCGCUCUAGUUUUUUCUUGUACGGAACACACUGAUUGUUGCUGGCUUGCUACCAAUUUUCCAGUUCUUGUGGCCACUCAAUCAGCAUCUGGUACUAGUAUUCAGUUCCUUGCAUAAACUUGCUGUGCAAUGUCCAAGACUGAGAGCAGAAAGCUGUCCGAUGACUAUGAAGUUGUGGAUGUCCUCGGCCGAGGUGGGUUCUCGAUAGUGAGAAGGGGAGUGAGCAAGUCAGAAGGGAAGACCCAGGUUGCCAUAAAGACCCUGCGAAGGCUUGGUCCGGCGAUGAUGGGGACGAAGCAAGGGUCAAAGGGUGGCCUCCCAAUGUGGAAGCAGGUAUCCAUCUCUGACGCGCUGCUCACCAACGAGAUUCUCAUCAUGAGGAGGAUAGUCGAGAACGUCGCGCCACACCCCAACGUUAUCGGCCUUCAUGAUGUGUAUGAGGAUGUGCAUGGAGUGCACCUGAUCCUCGAGCUGUGCUCAGGUGGUGAAUUGUUCGAUAGGAUAGUGGGGCGUGACCGGUACUCGGAAUUUGAUGCGGCAGCUGUAGUUCGUCAGAUUGCGAGAGGCUUGGAGGCUCUUCAUAAGGCAAACAUCAUACACAGGGACUUGAAGCCAGAGAAUUGCCUGUUCUCUGACAAAAAUGAGGAUUCCACAUUGAAGAUCAUGGAUUUUGGUUUGAGUUCUGUUGAAGAUUUCAGUGACCCGAUUGUGACUCUGUUUGGGUCGAUAGAUUAUGUUUCACCAGAAGCUCUCUCAAGGCAAGAUGUUUCAGCUGCAAGUGAUAUGUGGUCUGUUGGGGUAAUACUGUACAUCCUUUUAUCUGGGUAUGUUUGAUAACUCUUCAUUGUGAUUCCCUUGUUUAUUUUUUUGCUCAUAGUUUGAAGGAUUUUACUUUGUGUAUUUCAGAUGCCCACCAUUUCAUGCUGCAACUAAUCGAGAAAAGCAGCAAAGGAUCCUGCAAGUAAGUCAUUAUUGUAGCUAACCUCUGGACAUAAUGCUGUUAUAUUAUUUGAGUUUGGUGGUGUUAGGAACUCUCCAGUGAUUCAUAUUUUGAUGUAUUCACCUUUUGAGCAUUUCUACAACCUUCUCUGACAAUAUGGAACACGUUGGCUCAGUUGUAGUGGGAAUGGGAGUUCAAUCAAUUUCUCUAAAAAACACUUUCCAUUUUCUAACAAAACCAGAAUCAUUUGGCAUCACUAGUCACACGUCAUAUUCAUGGAUGCGAUGUAAUUUAGACUUACAUUCACUGCUGCCUCAAUAGACUAUCUUCUAUAUGCUCUUCCAACCUAAAUUACAUUUAGAAGAUGAGAUUACCUAGUAGGAACUAGGUAAUUUAGGCAUAGCUCUGAACCUUCUGUCAUCUGGUUUGGAGCAACUGUGCACAGCAUGGUAACAGUUCUGUCAAUCAGUGCUGAAUUGUCUUCUUCUGGUAGCUAUCGGCACCUGAAUUUUAAUUUGUCCUGUUUCGAUGGCUAAGUUUUCUUGAGGCAAAUGGGACUUGCUUUUUCCUGGGUGUAAAAUAUUUCUCCUGAGUACAAACUGACCGUUCCAAUCCAAUUGCUCAGAAAAAAAAACAAAACGUAAGUCGAGUCCAAGAGGUUAGACAAAACUGCGUCAAAAUCUUCUUAAAAUGGAACAGAGUUAAACAAAAAAAAAGAA